CGUCACUUGCUCUCCUCUCAAAGCUUUUCUCCUGCUUCUUUUUUCCUGAGGCGUACCGCACAAGGAAGUUCCUUCUUCAGGCAACUUCUUGAAAACGCAUAAAGUUCUAGGAUUUUUGUGAUUCAUUCAUUCAUUGUUAGUGCAAGAAACAGGACUGGGAAGCAUCAAGUUACCUUUAGAUUUCAGUCUGCAAGUCUUUUCCUUUUUUCUCCUGCCCCUUUAUAAUGCUUUUUGCCAGCUUAAAAGACUCAUGCCUCAGACACACUGAUGCAAUGAGA
RNAcentral lists this long non-coding RNA (278 nucleotides) under Homo sapiens (human). RNAcentral's name for it is "non-protein coding lnc-PADI6-3:4". The record is from RNAcentral. Lineage: Eukaryota; Metazoa; Chordata; Mammalia; Primates; Hominidae.